Molecule: ribosomal RNA, 506 nt
Filed under: uncultured bacterium
Lineage: Bacteria
Description: partial 16S ribosomal RNA
Rfam family: Bacterial small subunit ribosomal RNA
Source: RNAcentral
AUUGAACGCUGGCGGCAGGCCUAACACAUGCAAGUCGGACGGUAGCACAGAGGAGCUUGUUCCCUGGGGGACGAGUGGCGGACGGGUGAGUAAUGUCUGGGGAUCUGCCCGAUAGAGGGGGAUAACCACUGGAAACGGUGGCUAAUACCGCAUAACGUCGCAAGACCAAAGAGGGGGACCUUCGGGCCUACCACUAUCGGAUGAACCCAGAUUGGAGUAGCUAGUAGGCGGGGUAAUGGCCCACCUAGGCGACGAUCCCUAGCUGGUCUGAGAGGAUGACCAGCCACACUGGAACUGAGACACGGUCCAGACUCCUACGGGAGGCAGCAGUGGGGAAUAUUGCACAAUGGGCGCAAGCCUGAUGCAGCCAUGCCGCGUGUAUGAAGAAGGCCUUCGGGUUGUAAAGUACUUUCAGCGGGGAGGAAGGCGGUGAGGUUAAUAACCUCGCCGAUUGACGUUACCCGCAGAAGAAGCACCGGCUAACUCCGUGCCAGCCGCCGCAGUAA